CAGGUCACUCCUACGGGAGGCAGCAGUGGGGAAUUUUGCACAAUGGGGGAAACCCUGAUGCAGCGACGCCGCGUGAGCGAUGAAGCCCUUCGGGGUGUAAAGCUCUUUCGGCAGGGAAGAUGAUGACGGUACCUGCAGAAGCAGCUGCGGCUAACUACGUGCCAGCAGCCGCGGUAAUACGUAGGCAGCAAGCGUUGUUCGGAGUUACUGGGCGUAAAGAGUGUGUAGGCGGUGCUCUAAGUUUGGUGUGAAAUCUCCCGGCUUAACUGGGAGGGUGCGCCGAAAACUGGAGUGCUCGAGUAUGGGAGAGGUAAGCGGAAUUCCUGGUGUAGCGGUGAAAUGCGUAGAUAUCAGGAGGAACACCUGUGGUGUAGACAGCUUACUGGACCAUCACUGACGCUGAGACACGAAAGCGUGGGUAGCAAACAGGAUUAGAUACCCUGGUAGUCCACGCCCUAAACGAUGCAUAUUUGGUGUGGGUCAUUCAGUUGAUCCGUGCCGGAGCUAACGCGUUAAAUAUGCCGCCUGGGGAGUACAGUCGCAAGGCUGAAACUUAAAGGAAUUGACG
Molecule: ribosomal RNA, 568 nt
Filed under: uncultured Acidobacteriota bacterium
Lineage: Bacteria; Pseudomonadati; Acidobacteriota
Description: bacterial SSU rRNA
Rfam family: Bacterial small subunit ribosomal RNA
Source: RNAcentral